Molecule: non-coding RNA, 391 nt
Organism: Vicugna pacos (alpaca)
Lineage: Eukaryota; Metazoa; Chordata; Mammalia; Artiodactyla; Camelidae
Source: RefSeq, a predicted model, not a curated record
CAGGCGUGUGCUCUUCCUGUCUGUAAAAUCUGGUGUGAACUCUGCACACAGAUGCUCUGUGUGUGCUUACUGGAUGGAGGAACUAAUUAACAGAGGGGAGAAACACUGCUCUGUGGACUGAGACGCAGUAACGUCCAGGUAACAGACAAUCCAAAGCAGAAAACGCUUUUCCCACGUCUUCUAGGGACGUUCCUCCCCAGUGGAAGAACAAAACUGUUAUUUGCCUUUUUGGGGAAAAUGAAAUGAAAUAAGCUAUCUCCAAGAAGCAGACAAAAAUUUUGCCCUUAAAAACGUAUUUUAAAAGUUUUAAAAAGGAAUGUUUACCUCGAACCUCUGCUCUAUGCAGAUCAGAAACCCUACCCAGGUAGUCAUUCAUUUCGUAGGAUUUGAA